Molecule: unclassified non-coding RNA, 261 nt
Filed under: Hevea brasiliensis (rubber tree)
Lineage: Eukaryota; Viridiplantae; Streptophyta; Magnoliopsida; Malpighiales; Euphorbiaceae
Source: RNAcentral
GGUUGACUGGUGCUUUACAUGGUCUUCAAGUACCUAAUCUGGAUUCUACCUAUGCAAACAUGCGAGCUGUUAAAGAGAAGAGGGCAGAACUUGAAAAACUAAAAACUACAUUUGUUAGGAGAGCUUCUNGAGUUCUUGAGAAACUACUUUGCCAGUUUGGUGGAUUUCAUGAUAAGUGACAAGAGUUACUUUUCACAGCGGGGACAGUUGAAGAGGCCUGAUCAUGCAGACUUACGGUACAAAUGCAGAACAUAUGCUCGC